This 67-nucleotide transfer RNA is filed under the name Powellomyces hirtus. Its description in RNAcentral is "tRNA-Met". It matches the Rfam family "tRNA". Rfam says of the family: Transfer RNA (tRNA) molecules are approximately 80 nucleotides in length. Lineage: Eukaryota; Fungi; Chytridiomycota; Chytridiomycetes; Spizellomycetales; Powellomycetaceae. The record is from RNAcentral.
CCGGUAUUGUAAUGGUAGCAACCCAGGCUCAUAACCUGGUAGUGUAGGUUCGAUUCCUACCUGGGGU